This 86-nucleotide non-coding RNA is filed under the name Pseudomonas sp. URMO17WK12:I6. The record is from RNAcentral. Lineage: Bacteria; Pseudomonadati; Pseudomonadota; Gammaproteobacteria; Pseudomonadales; Pseudomonadaceae.
GUAGGAGCCGGCUUGCUGGCGAUUCAGACGACGCGGUGUAUCAGGUACACCGCGUUAUCGUUCAUCGCCAGCAAGCCGGCUCCUAC